UGGAGAUUGCUUACUUUCUGAAAUGGACUUGCGUUUUUGGUUUGAAGCACUCUUGUCUGCCUUGUUCCUUUUAGCUUUUGAGGAAACCUGACUAGAAGGUGUUCCUUGGGAUUCUGGAACAGCUAUAUGGCUUCUCGGAGAAGCUUCUGGGCUUGACCUAUAUGUUGGACCACCUGCCUCAGAAUCCAGUUCUCUUUGAACAUCAGAAGCACUUCUCUCUGGCUUCAUCUCAAUAUGCCGGGAAUCUGUAGCUACAAUUGAAUCCGCAGCUUCACCUAUGACACUAUCAAGUUGCUCAGGUUGAAUCAUUAUACGGUCGGACAAAUUUGACACCAGAUCAGUAGAUGCAUUCUUGACUUCGACAACUACAUCUUCUGUGCUCUUAGGAUUUUCUUUCUCUGUAGAUUUGGCUUCAUGAUCACAUUCUGCUGCUCCAACUUCAAAUACAUCAGGUGAAUCAAGAGUGGAAGUAACAGAAAGUUCAGUACCACAUUC
Molecule: unclassified non-coding RNA, 495 nt
Filed under: Hevea brasiliensis (rubber tree)
Lineage: Eukaryota; Viridiplantae; Streptophyta; Magnoliopsida; Malpighiales; Euphorbiaceae
Source: RNAcentral